RNAcentral lists this ribosomal RNA (639 nucleotides) under Triticum aestivum (bread wheat). RNAcentral describes it as "partial small subunit ribosomal RNA". Lineage: Eukaryota; Viridiplantae; Streptophyta; Magnoliopsida; Poales; Poaceae. The record is from RNAcentral.
AUAUGUGUACCAAAGAAAAAGGGAGGAAUGGGAUUUAGAGACUUGCAUUGCUUCAAUUUGGCUCUUUAGCCAAAGCAAUGUUGGAGGUUGGUACGUGAGCCAGAAUCAUUAUGUGCCAGAGUUUUGAGAGCCAAAUAUUUUCCCAAUGGAGAUCUUCUUAACUGCAGCCUUAAGAAAGGGAGCUCUUAUACGUGGCAGAGUCUUUGGAGUGGUAUUCAGUCUUUCAAGCGAGGGCAUAUUUGGAGAGUUGGUGAUGGGUCCCAAAUUAAUAUCUGGGAAGACCCUUGGAUACCAACCAGCUCUACAUGCAAGGUAAUGCCACCAAGAGUUAACAUUGUGGUCACAAAAGUUUCCAAGCUUAUUGAUACAGAAAAUAGAGUGUGGGAUGAACAGUUGAUAUCGGACUUGUUUUGGCCUAUUGAUGUCCAAUGCAUAUUAGAUAUCCCAUUGGCUCUGGGAAUGAUGGAUGACUUUGUAUCAUGGCACUUUAAUAGGAGUGGGAUUUUUUUGGUUAGAUCAACAUACCAUGAAGAAUGGGAGCAUCAACACGGACGAAAGUUGAGGAUGACUAACUCUAUACAAGCCUCAAGUACUGGUCCAGUUUGGUGUACCAUUUGGAAAUUGCGUGCGCUGGCAUAA